Long non-coding RNA from Varroa destructor (honeybee mite), 3142 nucleotides. RefSeq lists it as uncharacterized. Lineage: Eukaryota; Metazoa; Arthropoda; Arachnida; Mesostigmata; Varroidae. The record is from RefSeq and is a predicted model, not a curated record.
CGAACUAUUCGAGCUUUCGCUCCGACUUCGAAACGGCGGCUAGCUAAUGGUGGCGUUUUAGGGUAGAGCGUUACGAGAAGGCGGCAGACAGAGCUCGUUGGGAGAACAGCACCUGUUGAUACUACAGUGCGUCCACGACGUAGAGCACAGAUUCAACGUCACCAACCUGUCGCACUGAUCGUCGUCAAUCUAAAUUUGCCGUUAAGAAGUGAGACCAUCGUGUCUAUGCGGUGACUUGCAGCAGUUUCCUUAUUUCAAAUUCAUGGAACCACAGCGUCGUAUUUAAUCCUCGUAUGCGCGGUCGUGUUAUUAUCAAUUUUAAUAGGCAUUUGAUUAUUUGAUUUAUAAAAUGAAAUUUUACACUUGCUACAUAACAGCAAGCAACAGAUAAACUAGACUAUGUCAAAAUGGGCCCUAUCUUUGCGUUGACAAAUGUUUACUACGAAAUAAAUCUAUUGAGCCUCCUCAUCACCGAGAACAAUUCUGUAGAACAACAACGGUCGCCCGAUACAGGGUGAAAUGUUGAAAUAGUAUGUCAAACGAUAAUUUCUUAUUUGAUGCGUUAAGCUCAUUAGGUACUCAUGCUCUAAUUUUUUUUUUGUGAAUCUAAAGGAAUUGGAGCAAUCAACGACAGUCGUGUCAAACCAUUUUUGAGCAGUCUUCUUUCGAUAGUGUUGUUACCGUGUCCAAGGUAAAUUUUCUAGGCGCGUUAAGUUUCGACUAAAGACAUACAACAAAAAGUGCUGAAAAUGGGUUCCUUUUCACCUAAAGUAUCUAUCCUUGUGAAGUUUCUUCAAGUCGAGAUUGUGUUUUCCGGAAAAUACCGUUAGCACGUUUCCAGAGCAGGAAGAGUGCUUUUGAGCGGUAUAUUAGAGAACGCCCGAAGGGAAGUGGAAACACUUUUACUAAUCCAACAGUUAAUACUUAGAAAAUUCGAGGUAGACGUUGACGUUUUUAAUGAUAACGAUAUAUUUGGCAGAUCGAAAAGUCUGUAUAUAGACGAGUCUGAGAUAACUCGUAUGCUUACUUGACUUCACGAGAACGUCGAAGCGAAUAUCGGGUGAGCGUUUGCGCCCCCUGGUAGAAGGCACGCCGGUCUAUAGUAGGCGGUCACAGAGUUUGUAAUCCCCUGCUUCUUUCCAAUGGGUGGUUAGGCGCCCUUUCGCAAUUUCGCUAGCCUUGUCGUUUAUUGGUCGCAAAAAAAUGUAUUGGGUUUCAAAAUGAACGCACCGUGUUUCUGAGAAUGCUAAAAAUUCAACACUUUGUGAAACAACCAUAUUCAAAAUAAUAGCCGUAAGAAUAUAGGAUCCCGUAUCAAAGAAAUACACAGAAAAAACGAAAAACCGGCUUUAAUCAAUUGAAUAAACAAUAAAGAUUUUUGGAGAGAAGCAAAAAAGAUUUGAGACGAAUCUUAAAAUACUGAAGAGAGUAUAAGAUAGUAAAAACAUAAAUUAGAGCUAAAGAUAAAAGACCUGAAUUAAUUAUUGUUUAAGAUUCUCUUUUCGGUCAUCGAAUUUCGCUGAGUUGUCUAAAAUGAACGUUUGCUUUUUUUCUAGUCUCCUAUUAAAGCUAAAUCGGAUUCGACGGGGAAUAUGAUCUUUGUAUCGAAGAUACGAUUCAAGGUUCAAGCAUAGGAUAGAAUUAUGCAUGUAUUUUUCCAUGAAACCCUACAGAUAAAACUAUUGGUAGAAUAAAGAAUUAGCUUUCUAACGGUAUGUUGCGUUUGGCCAAAAAGAUCAAAAGCAUGACUGGUAAAAAAUUUCGGUUAGGGCCCAAUAUAGUGGCAAAAAAAAUGAGCGCGAUGGAAGUAGUACGAUCAGCACACUUACUAUUGAAGAACUCCUGUCUUUAAUCCAUAUUCAGAAACAUAGGAGCUACAUAAUUCGGCGUCUGAAAUCUAGAUACAGUUGAUAUCAUUGCUGUACUCGAAAUACCUUGAACCUUGACGCAAAGAUCGGCGACAACAUGUUGAUUCGUUUGUUAAUCGAUAAUUUACUAUAUUCACAAUCAAAACCUUCAUUACAGUGACAAGGUACUAGGGGUAGUUUAAUUAGGGGUAGGCAGUAGGGGUAAUUUAAAAUUACAACAGCUUGCCGGUCGGAACCCGCAAUGAUUUAGUAUCAUAUCACUUAUCAUUUACAAAAAAAAUAUUAGAAAUACUCUUGAGUAAGCAGUAAAGAUAUCUCGUGAGAAACAGCUCUUUCUCUAUAUAACGGCCAAAUAUAGCCAUAUGCAGUAUUAGUACAUGCAAUAACAAGUUUUGAACACUGAUUGACAGUAGGCUGCUUCAAGAGGGAGCUCCAUACUAAAAUGAAAAAAAAAUAUAACUAUCUAAUGGAGUUGCUUCAAGGCAAACGCCCACAAGACCAGGACGACAUCAAAGAAUUUAUUGCAACCGGUGAUCCUCCAAAUAGAGCGGAUUUUAACUCAUUUGACUCUUGACAAAACUGUUCAAGUACCAGAGACAUGUAACGCAUUAUUUUCUAAUGAUAUAGAGGUCGGAUCGGUAAAUGCUUAAAGCUUGAAGGUAGACCUUCAAGCUGUAAGCAAUGUUUUAAAGAAUAGAACUGUUCUAACAAUCUAAACAGCAAUCACCUGCACACCACAGAAUAUGAAUAUUUAUGACGACAUACGUGUUAUUACUAUGAGAGGUACAUAGAAUACGUCAAACAAGCCUCAAUAGGAUUCAUUGUCUUCUUAUUUUUUGCAAUGAUGGCAUUACUGCUCCGUUUAAUCAUCACCGUUUAAAAGAAAGUCGUAUACGUGACACAUAAGGAAGGCUCGAAAUAUGCUGCUGGGUUGCUUUUUUCUAUAGAUACAUGUAGAUUUUUUCAAGUGUGUAUUCUAAAAAAAUUUUGUACCUUUGAAAAUCGAUCAAAUUUCUAUGUACAUGAUAUAUAGUUUUUUGAUCGCUCAUUAUCAUGCAAAGCAUCAUUUCCAUCAACGGAAAGAUUUAGUAUAUAAUGACUUGUAGGAGAAUUGGGUCUGUCUUUCUGAGAAGACAAGGCCGACGUUCAGUAAGAUUAAAAUUAAACCACUACUCUAGUUUUAAGGUUCUCUUAUGGCUGACUUUUCACCCGGAACAUGUACAGAAUCCAAUGAAUAAAGCAAGGAUCAACGUGAGACUUUUGUUCAAGUCCCU